Molecule: ribosomal RNA, 254 nt
Filed under: uncultured bacterium
Lineage: Bacteria
Description: partial 16S ribosomal RNA
Rfam family: Bacterial small subunit ribosomal RNA
Source: RNAcentral
UACGGGGGGGGGCAAGCGUUGUCCGGAAUUACUGGGCGUAAAGAGCUCGUAGGUGGUUUGUCGCGUUGUUCGUGAAAACUCACAGCUUAACUGUGGGCGUGCGGGCGAUACGGGCAGACUGGAGUACUGCAGGGGAGACUGGAAUUCCUGGUGUAGCGGUGGAAUGCGCAGAUAUCAGGAGGAACACCCGUGGUGCAGACGGCUUGCUGGACCUCCACUGACGCUGAGGCACGAAAGCGUGGGGAGCGAACAGG